Molecule: transfer RNA, 80 nt
Filed under: Paraburkholderia megapolitana
Lineage: Bacteria; Pseudomonadati; Pseudomonadota; Betaproteobacteria; Burkholderiales; Burkholderiaceae
Also listed under: 1 other name
Description: tRNA-Gly
Rfam family: tRNA
About the family: Transfer RNA (tRNA) molecules are approximately 80 nucleotides in length. Their secondary structure includes four short double-helical elements and three loops (D, anti-codon, and T loops). Further hydrogen bonds mediate the characteristic L-shaped molecular structure. tRNAs have two regions of fundamental functional importance: the anti-codon, which is responsible for specific mRNA codon recognition, and the 3' end, to which the tRNAs corresponding amino acid is attached (by aminoacyl-tRNA synthetases). tRNAs cope with the degeneracy of the genetic code in two manners: having more than one tRNA (with a specific anti-codon) for a particular amino acid; and 'wobble' base-pairing, i.e. permitting non-standard base-pairing at the 3rd anti-codon position.
Source: RNAcentral
GCGGGAGUAGCUCAGUUGGUAGAGCGNGCGCAACCUUGCCAAGGUUGAGGUCGCGAGUUCGAGCCUCGUCUCCCGCUCCA